Molecule: long non-coding RNA, 966 nt
Organism: Cyprinus carpio carpio
Lineage: Eukaryota; Metazoa; Chordata; Actinopteri; Cypriniformes; Cyprinidae
Source: Ensembl
CCAAAAGUUACUUCAAACUGAUUUGAUUGUAACUAGUAUUGACACUGGGAUAACUAGUAAUGACAUGUAAAACUGAUUCUUGCUUUACAUACAGGCUUGCCAUCAGGGCGUGCUCCUUAUACUCUCCAUACUGGAUCGGAAAAGACCAGUGUGUGCUGUGCUGUGGUGACAGACGGUUUCUGCUCAGAGAACACCGUGAUGAGGACCAGUUUAUUGAGAUCCGCUGCAAAGAGACUGAGCUUGAAACUUCAGAAGACAUCCAGAAAGCAUGGGAAGUGAUAAGGAAGAUUAUGACACGGCUGAACAAACUGACAGAGCAGUGGCAAGGGCUGUACCUGACUGUCCACAGUCCCUGUAAAUCCAGCGACUGUGAUGAAUACUUUGAAUGGAACGACUGGCAAGAAUGGUUAGAAGAUUCAGGGACAAGCAAAUUUAAUAUAGGACUUGAAGAAAAACACACUUGCCUUAAUGGACACCAACGAAGGACAGAGUUGCUGUUCCCUAGAACUCCUGAUGCUUUGACCUAAAGACAGGGCGUAUGGACUUGACUUGAUGGGAUGACAAAUGUGUCAUUCCUAAAAUAUUGUGAAACACAACUUGAACAUUUGUUUAUAUACUGUAAUUAAUUAAAAUACCAACUUGCACAGACAAUAGCAUUGUAAUGUUUCCACAACACGUUAUUACAUAAAUUGUAAUAGCUCCAAAACAUUAAACUAGCCUAUAUAAUAUUUACUAUAGUUAAUGUAUAUUUCUUGACUUAGCAUGAAAUGGAGGAAUCUAACAUUAUUUUGGGGAACAUACACAAGUUUUGUGUAGUCUCCUCUCGGUAAGAAACUGUUCGGUGGAUAUGUUGUCUUGUAGAAACAUAUUGUCGCCGCUAGGGGGUGAUCUUUAUACAUUUACGUUUCACAAUUUGUUUGAGGACUGUUUGUGGAGGGUAAAUUAUUGCUGCUGUGGAGUCCGGGC